Molecule: long non-coding RNA, 878 nt
Organism: Brachypodium distachyon (stiff brome)
Lineage: Eukaryota; Viridiplantae; Streptophyta; Magnoliopsida; Poales; Poaceae
Exons: 2
Source: RefSeq, a predicted model, not a curated record
AAAUCCAAGACACUUAUUACGCACUGUUGUAUCAUUCUGAACUUUCCACGGAAUUGCUGGCUAAGUUCCGCAUGUUAUUGUAGGGCAUUUGUAGCAUCACAAUAUAGUUUAUGAGGUAGAAAUGUAGUAUUAGCAAGUCACUUUCCACGGUGACUGUGAACAUUUAUCCUUGUAGAGUAUGGACAUUGUCCAAUUAUAACUAGAAAAUGUACUUCAUUGCAACCCUACAUGGCACAAUUCUUGAAUUCGGCGUACUCGUGGCUCACCAAUCACCAUGCCUCUAGAUUAAAGUACACUGUUUUAGUUCUCAAUUUGUAUUUCAAAUUCUUUGUAACAAUUAGCCAUCAUAAGUUUAUAAUUAUAUCAUUCAUGCAGUUCUCUUAGUGUUAUUAAGAGACACUGCGAAUCUUCUUUUAAGAUCUUGUCCAUGCUAAUAAUACAUAUACAUCCUUUUCAGACCUGAGCCACUUAAAGCAGGCAACUCCUGCAUGUUGAAUGCUCCUAGCAGUACAGCUCGUAGCUCUGGACAUAACAUUCUAACAAGUCUACAUGGCACUCCUUCCAAAGAUGAUAAAAUAGCAGCAGCUUUUCAACUGACAGGAUCAAGGAAUCAGUUCCAGAACCAAAAUUUCCUGCUGUGCUGAAACACAUCAUGAGAUCUCCAGCUGUGAGGUUAUUGGUUGGACAACUUCAAUAUGCAAUGUAUCUUAACGCUACAAUUGUUAUUUAUUUGAACUAACAAGCUUGCCAGUUUGUCGUGCAGAAAAUCACCACAAACUGUUCCAAAGCUGGGGAAUCAAACAGUUAGUGUCCUGAUUUUCUGAGAUUCCUUGUAGUCUUGCUACACGGUCAAACAUUCUAAAAAGUGAUCACUAAUU